AUUGAACGCUGGCGGCACGCCUUACACAUGCAAGUCGAGCGGCAGCGCGCGGGCAACCCUGGCGGCGAGCGGCGGACGGGUGAGUAAUACAUCGGAACGUGUCCUUUCGUGGGGGAUAACCAGUCGAAAGACUGGCUAAUACCGCAUGAGAUCUCACGAUGAAAGCGGGGGACCGCAAGGCCUCGCGCGAUUGGAGCGGCCGAUGUCGGAUUAGCUAGUUGGCGGGGUAAAAGCCCACCAAGGCGACGAUCCGUAGCUGGUUUGAGAGAACGACCAGCCACACUGGGACUAAGACACGGCCCAGACUCCUACGGGAGGCAGCAGUGGGGAAUUUUGGACAAUGGGGGCAACCCUGAUCCAGCCAUGUCGCGUGUGUGAAGAAGGCCUUCGGGUUGUAAAGCACUUUCGGCCGGAACGAAAUCGCGCGGAUUAAUAACCCGCGUGGAUGACGGUACCGGAAGAAGAAGCACCGGCUAACUACGUGCCAGCAGCCGCAGUAA
RNAcentral lists this ribosomal RNA (500 nucleotides) under uncultured bacterium. RNAcentral's name for it is "partial 16S ribosomal RNA". It matches the Rfam family "Bacterial small subunit ribosomal RNA", at positions 29 to 523 of the family's 1533-position model. The record is from RNAcentral.